GACGAACGCUGGCGGCGUGCCUAACACAUGCAAGUCGAGCGCACCUUCGGGUGAGCGGCGGACGGGUUAGUAACGCGUGGGAAUAUACCCAAUGGUAAGGAAUAGCCACUGGAAACGGUGAGUAAUACCUUAUGUGCCCUAAGGGGGAAAGAUUUAUCGCCAUUGGAUUAGCCCGCGUUGGAUUAGGUAGUUGGUGGGGUAACGGCCUACCAAGCCUACGAUCCAUAGCUGGUUUGAGAGGAUGAUCAGCAACACUGGGACUGAGACACGGCCCAGACUCCUACGGGAGGCAGCAGUGGGGAAUCUUAGACAAUGGGGGAAACCCUGAUCUAGCCAUGCCGCGUGAGUGACGAAGGCCUUAGGGUCGUAAAGCUCUUUCGCCAGGGAUGAUAAUGACAGUACCUGGUAAAAACCCCGGUAACUCCGUGCC
RNAcentral lists this ribosomal RNA (430 nucleotides) under uncultured bacterium. Its description in RNAcentral is "bacterial SSU rRNA". It matches the Rfam family "Bacterial small subunit ribosomal RNA", at positions 28 to 509 of the family's 1533-position model. The record is from RNAcentral.